This 403-nucleotide ribosomal RNA is filed under the name bacterium. RNAcentral's name for it is "partial 16S ribosomal RNA". It matches the Rfam family "Bacterial small subunit ribosomal RNA", at positions 355 to 776 of the family's 1533-position model. The record is from RNAcentral.
UGGGGAAUAUUGCACAAUGGAGGGAACUCUGAUGCAGCGACGCCGCGUGAACGAAGAAGGCUUUCGAGUCGUAAAGUUCUUUUAUAUGGGAAGAUAAUGACGGUACCAUAAGAAAAAGCCCCGGCUAACUACGUGCCAGCAGCCGCGGUAAUACGUAGGGGGCUAGCGUUGUCCGGAAUCACUGGGCGUAAAGGGUUCGCAGGCGGAAAUGCAAGUCAGGUGUAAAAGGCAGUAGCUUAACUACUGUAAGCAUUUGAAACUGCAUAACUUGAGAAGAGUAGAGGUAAGUGGAAUUUUUAGUGUAGCGGUGAAAUGCGUAGAUAUUAAAAAGAAUACCGGUGGCGAAGGCGACUUACUGGGCUCAUUCUGACGCUGAGGAACGAAAGCGUAGGUAGCAAACAGG